Long non-coding RNA from Felis catus (domestic cat), 3416 nucleotides. RefSeq lists it as uncharacterized. The transcript is spliced from 4 exons. Lineage: Eukaryota; Metazoa; Chordata; Mammalia; Carnivora; Felidae. The record is from RefSeq and is a predicted model, not a curated record.
ACGCUUAACCGACUGAGCCACCCAGGUGCCCCUCUUCCUCUUCUUGUAAGGACACUAACUAACCCUACCAUGGGACCCCACACUUGAUCACAUCUGAACCUAAUUCUCUCCGUGAGACCCACCACCUAAUGCCAUCACACUGGGGAUUAGGGUUUCAGUGUAUGGAUUUUGGAAGAGCCAUUCAGUCCAUAAUAGUGUCCUUAGGGUUCUUACAAUUUACCCCAAAAGAUUGAAAAAUGGCUUGGUUCCCAGGGCCCAGUUUUUUUCAACUUUCUGGUGGCUUAUCCACUCAGAGUGAAGAGUCCCUGUGGCUCUGGGGACCUACACUCCAGGAAAAAUUGGGGAGGCAUGAUCAGAGGGUCACAGAGCCCCAGGUGCAUCCAUGGGGAGGUAGCUGUCACCUGGUAUUUAUGGGAUAGAUGGGGGCGGGAUCUGGGAAGGUAGAGAAGUAUGGGACAUGACUCUUCACACAGGAUCACACAGUUAACUUGUCAGAGCAGGGCCCAGAAAGGGUCCCCAUCCCAGAGCUCAGGCAAUCCCUUGGACGCUACCUGCCCCACCAUCUGCUGGCUCUGGAGGCCAAGCCUGGAAACUGGCAUUGAGAGCUGGUUGUCUCAACCAUAAAACUGUAAAAGUCAGUGCGUUUUUGCUGGGGUUCCAACAGUUCUGUUUUGUAAACUUCAGAAUGCUUUAGAUGCGUGACCCGUAUAUUUAGAAAAGACAAACCAAAUUCUCAUUAUUGAUAUGCAUCAUUGAUAUUUUAAAUUACACAUAUUAACAAUAAUAACAGGAUUAGGCUCAUGGAAUCCCAGAGCAAGCAAGGUUCUUCCGUGCAGCCUUCCUUAUCUGCUUGCUGGCAUCCCCUGGUCCCUAUCUGUGCCAAGUGGUAUUAAUUGCAUUACAAAUGACAAGUGCAUUUAAUUUCAGAAUUCUCCUAGUGAAGGGAGCUACUCAAGAAGGAAUUCUCAUGCCUGUACACCACCCAGCCCAGCGUUCACUGGCUCAAGCCCCAGGCCCAGAGGAUCCAUGGUGGGAAGUGACUGUCCAUCACUCUGACCUUCUUGGAGAACACAGAGCUCUAGAGACCCAAGACAGACCAGAGUUGCCAUACCCUGAACUGGGGUCCCUGUUGAAGUUUCCAGGAUGUUCACUAUCCUUCUGUCAAGCUGGUCUUGUUCUUCAUGGCUCUGAGAAGAAAAGGAAGUGGGGAGGUACAGGGGAUAGCUGGCAUCCUCUGUGGCCCCAGAGAAUACUUUGUUCUAGAUUGCACCAACAGAGGAUCUCAGAAAGUUUUAGAAAUUUCCAGAUCUCUCUGCUACAGACCCCAGGCUGGCUGUAAAAAGUCAGCAACCAGCACCUGCAACCAUCAUGGACAGUUUCAGUAUCCCUUACCUAACUCUGUUUGCCCACGACUGGUGUAAGAGCCCUCUAAAUCCAUCCAUGGCCCCAGAUCUCCCCCAGCACCAGUGUUCUGAUACCUGGGUUUAUUCCUUUCAGGGAUAAAAAUACCCCCUUAUUAGAACUACAAUAACUUAUAGGGAGGUUUUCCCACUAGGCCACAGAUACCAAGUCACUGGUGACAGAACAAGGCUCUGCUCAGAAAGGCAGACGGCCAUCAGUCCCUCACACAGAGAGCAGAGGCCAGGGAGCCAGCACAUGAAUGACAGCACCCUCCUUCCGCAUCUGCCCCGAUAUCUUGUGUCUGUCCCUCCAGUGCAGGCCCACCAAAAGUUCCUGGCUGAAAGGUGAUCUUAACCUGCUCUUUUGAGCUCACACCACCAAGUCACAGUGAUAACACACAAAACACCAUUAAAUCUUUUAAAGGAGCCCAGUUGACUGGGCAAACUCCUUGGGCAAAAACAAAACAUCCAGCGUCUUCUAAAGGCUGCAGGUGAAGCUGAAGGACUCUUGCCACUUUAAAGUGUUGGCUUCGAUGCUGGUGGCAAAUAGAAAACUCUUUAGAUUACAGCUGAGAUUUGGGACAAGGAGAUUCAGGGCAGCAAUAGAAGCAAAGUCAUCUGGUUAGGUAGGGGGUCUGUGCCAGGCAUGAGAAAGUCAGGCAGAGGGCGCCACUCUAACUUCUAUUCCCAAAGCAAUUACAGAUGGAGUUUAAAAAUAUGUCUUGAGAGGCACCUGGGGGGCUCAAUCGGUUCUGCAUCCGAUUUCAGCUCAGGUAAUGAUCUCACAGUUCACGGGUUUAAGCUGUGUCGCUCUCAGUAUGUACUGACAGCUCAGAGCCUAGAGCCUGCUUCGGAUUCUGUGUCUCCCUCUCUCUCUCUGCCUCUCUCUCUCUCAGAAAUAAAAUAAUACAUUUUAGAAAUGUGUCUUGAAUUUGUAGGUGGUCUUCUCUCCCUCCUAGCACACAACCAUUUCUUUGGGGCUGUCCUUGUUUCUACAACAGAACCAGAAGGCAAAAAGUGGACAUGGAACCAUAAGUAUGUCAGAGAGCAUUCUAAAAUCUCCAGAGAACUUAGACAACAUCCUCUUCCUCAAAAAAGCACAAACAGACACGCCAUGUCAUUUUUGGGAAGGAAACUGAGGCUGAAGGUUGAGCUGAGGUCCAGCAGUCAACACACUCUAAGAACCAGAGCAAUAUAGAGAUGUCUUUCAUCACUGUGGGGCUGGCACCAAAGAGCCAGAUCCCUGGCCAGGGUGGACUUCCUAAUGUGGCCACAGUGAUGUGCAAGAAGUUUCACAAUGAUAAGAGUGACGCAGGCCUGCUUGCAUGAGUUCUGAUUGUUCCCCGCUGUGUUAACACCCAGAAUGAGUACUUCCAGCUGUUGAAAGAUGUCAGCAUAUUUAUAUGAACUGCUUCAUGGCUCCUAGGGAAAUUUCCUGAAGCAAAGACCGCCAGGUUCCUGAUUCUGUGGAGAUAUGACUGGGCUUGCAUUUAAUUUUCUCUGGGGAAAAAAAUGUAUUUAUUUCAAUAUGAUAUUAUUUCCAAUAUUUAGCCUGCAAUCAAAGUCGUAUAUUAUGAUAACGAACUUGGAAUGGAUAGCUCAAUUGACUCCUCUGCUGGUCAUCAUAGUUUUAAUUGUGAAAAUAAACUCUCUAGAGGUGCUGAAAUAUUGGGGAAGAUUAGAGUGCAUCUGCUAAAUGCUGGAAUUUUAUUUUUUGAAAUUAAAAUGCAUAAUAUCACCCACAAAUAUUUUCAAAUAUGUUUUGUUUUAUCUCUAAUGCUUACCUGUCUUCAACAAAUAUUUUUCUGAGACAAAAUUGAUUAAAUAAAUUAUCUCUGAAGCUUUUGAAUAUUUCAUUAAAUUUAAAUGCUUCAAAACUGUAGGCCUUCACAUAAGCCUAUGUUUCUAACAUAGACAGUAAACGUGUCCAUAUAAAAACAGGAGUUGCAGGGCGCUAGGUGGCUUAGUUGGCUGAAUGUCCAAAUCUUGAUUUCGGCUCACAGUUCAUGAGAUCAA